This 74-nucleotide transfer RNA is filed under the name Rugositalea oryzae. Its description in RNAcentral is "Rhodoplanes sp. Z2-YC6860 tRNA". It matches the Rfam family "tRNA". Rfam says of the family: Transfer RNA (tRNA) molecules are approximately 80 nucleotides in length. Their secondary structure includes four short double-helical elements and three loops (D, anti-codon, and T loops). The record is from Rfam by way of RNAcentral. Lineage: Bacteria; Pseudomonadati; Pseudomonadota; Alphaproteobacteria; Hyphomicrobiales; Nitrobacteraceae.
GGCCCCGUAGCUCAACUGGAUAGAGCAAUGGAUUUCGAUUCCAUAGGCUGGGAGUUCGAAUCUCUCCGGGGUCG